Molecule: ribosomal RNA, 429 nt
Filed under: uncultured bacterium
Lineage: Bacteria
Description: bacterial SSU rRNA
Rfam family: Bacterial small subunit ribosomal RNA
Source: RNAcentral
GGGCCCGCACAAGCGGUGGAGCAUGUGGUUUAAUUCGAUGAUACGCGAGGAACCUUACCAGGGCUUAAAUGUAACGGGACAGAUCUAGAGAUAGAUCCUUCUUCGGACUACUUACAAGGUGCUGCAUGGUUGUCGUCAGCUCGUGCCGUGAGGUGUCAGGUUAAGUCCUAUAACGAGCGCAACCCCUAUCGUUAGUUGCCAUCAAGUAAAGUUGGGAACUCUAGCGAAACUGCCGGUGCAAACCGAGAGGAAGGUGGGGAUGACGUCAAAUCAUCACGGCCCUUACGUUCUGGGCUACACACGUGCUACAAUGGUCGGUACAGAAAGCAGCCACUAUGCGAAUAGGAGCGAAUCCUUAAAACCGGUCUCAGUUCGGAUCGGGGUCUGCAACUCGGCCCCGUGAAGCUGGAAUCGCUAGUAAUCGGAUAU